GAUUAACGCUGGCGGCGUGCCUAAUGCAUGCAAGUCGAACGUGGUCUCUUCGGAGAUGCGCGUGGCGGACGGGUGAGGAACACGUGGGGAACCUGCCCAUUGGUGGGGGGUAGCCCGCGGAAACGCGGGGUAAUUCCGCAUACGCUCGCUGGAGAGUAACUCGAGUGAGGAAAGGGUCUUCGGACUCGCCGAUGGAGGGGCCUGCGUCCGAUUAGCUUGUUGGUGGGGUAACGGCCUACCAAGGCGAUGAUCGGUAGCUGGUCUGAGAGGACGGCCAGCCACAGGGGGACUGAGACACGGCCCCCACUCCUACGGGAGGCAG
RNAcentral lists this ribosomal RNA (322 nucleotides) under uncultured Chloroflexota bacterium. Its description in RNAcentral is "bacterial SSU rRNA". It matches the Rfam family "Bacterial small subunit ribosomal RNA", at positions 28 to 351 of the family's 1533-position model. The record is from RNAcentral. Lineage: Bacteria; Bacillati; Chloroflexota.